AAACCGCUUUCAGCAGGGAAGAAGCGAAAGUGACGGUACCUGCAAAAGAAGCACCGGCUAACUAUGUGCCAGCAGCCGCGGUAAUACAUAGGGUGCAAGCGUUGUCCGGAAUUAUUGGGCGUAAAGAGCUCGUAGGUGGUUAGUUACGUCGGGUGUGAAACUCUGGGGCUCAACCCCAGACCUGCACUCGAUACGGGCUAGCUAGAGUUUGGUAGGGGAGACUGGAAUUCCUGGUGUAGCGGUGGAAUGCGCAGAUAUCAGGAG
RNAcentral lists this ribosomal RNA (264 nucleotides) under uncultured Actinomycetes bacterium. Its description in RNAcentral is "uncultured actinobacterium partial 16S ribosomal RNA". It matches the Rfam family "Bacterial small subunit ribosomal RNA", at positions 427 to 703 of the family's 1533-position model. Lineage: Bacteria; Bacillati; Actinomycetota; Actinomycetes. The record is from RNAcentral.